CCUACGGGAGGCUGCAGUGAGGAAUAUUGGUCAAUGGACGAGAGUCUGAACCAGCCAAGUAGCGUGAAGGAUGACUGCCCUAUGGGUUGUAAACUUCUUUUAUAAAGGAAUAAAACGAGGCACGUGUGGCGUUUUGCGUGUACUUGAUGAAUAAGCAUCGGCUAACUCCGUGCCAGCAGCCGCGGUAAUACGGAGGAUUCGAGCGUUAUCCGGAUUUAUUGGGUUUAAAGGGAGCGUAGAUGGGUUGUUAAGUCAGUUGUGAAAGUUUGCGGCUCAACCGUAAAAUUGCAAUUGAUACUGGCAGUCUUGAGUACAGUUGAGGUAAGCGGAAUUCGUGGUGUAGCGGUGAAAUGCUUAGAUAUCACGAAGAACCCCGAUUGCGAAGGCAGCUUACUAAACUGUGACUGACAUUGAUGCUCGAAAGUGUGGGUAUCAAACAGGAUUAGAUACCCCAGUAGUC
This 460-nucleotide ribosomal RNA is filed under the name uncultured bacterium. RNAcentral's name for it is "partial 16S ribosomal RNA". It matches the Rfam family "Bacterial small subunit ribosomal RNA", at positions 338 to 795 of the family's 1533-position model. The record is from RNAcentral.